UGUAACCUGAAAUGUUCGAUAACUCCUGUUGUUUUGAACCUACAUUUACUUUAAACGGGACUCCUAUAUUGCCGCGUGGAUGUCAGGCCCCCAUUGCGCAGGGGAAGGCAGAAGCGUUCGGCUGCGGUAACCCACCUGGCUGUCAGCUAGGAGUCAGAAGACAGGAGGCGGCAUUUUGGGGAUACA
Molecule: non-coding RNA, 186 nt
Filed under: Candidatus Eisenbergiella merdavium
Lineage: Bacteria; Bacillati; Bacillota; Clostridia; Lachnospirales; Lachnospiraceae
Description: 6S RNA
Rfam family: 6S / SsrS RNA
About the family: E. coli 6S RNA was the first non coding RNA to be sequenced, but its function was unknown until recently. It consists of 184 nucleotides that fold into an extended hairpin structure with a large single-stranded internal bulge.
Source: RNAcentral